This 319-nucleotide ribosomal RNA is filed under the name uncultured eukaryote. RNAcentral describes it as "partial 18S ribosomal RNA". It matches the Rfam family "Eukaryotic small subunit ribosomal RNA", at positions 1470 to 1796 of the family's 1831-position model. The record is from RNAcentral.
CCCUUAGAUGUUCUGGGCUGCACGCGUGCUACAAUGGCGUUUCCAGCAAGUCUGCGAACCCGAGAGGGCCAGCGGAUCUUCGAAUUGGCGUCGUGAUCGGGACAGUCGAUUGCAAUUAUUUGACUCAAACGAGGAAUUCCUUGUAAUCGCGAUUCAUCAUAUCGCGCUGAAUACGUCCCUGCCCUUUGUACACACCGCCCGUCGCUCCUACCGUUUGAGCGAUCCGGUAAAUGUUUUGGAUUGGUGCCGGGGCGGCUAGCUGCCGGUCGCUACGAAAUUUUGUGAACCUUAUCGCUUAGAGGAAGGAAAAGUCGUAACA